AUCCGCGAGAGAGGCGCGCGCCCGCCACCGCUGGGGGCUCCAGCCGCCCGCCGACCCGGGCCUGGCAGAGGGGACGCGGCGCCCAAGCCGCUCCUCCGGAUGGCGACAGAGACGGCCUGACGCGCCCGCAGCCUGGGCCCCCCACGGGGAGGACGGCCGGGCCAGGUGAAGUUCGCGCACUUGGGCCUUCCGCGCCCCCAUCCACCGCAGCCAGGGCCUGGAAGGCUGGGGAGGGGGCGGGGGCGGCAGACGCCUCCUAAGGUGGGUUCUGGGACUUGGAUCCGGAGUUUAUUCCAAGGAGAGGGUGCUCUGGGCCUGUUCCCUAGGUGUGCCCUGUUACCCAAAAUCGGGCUUGUGCAGUGGGGUCCCUGAGUCCACUGGGAGCACAGCCUCAGACCCCAGCAGAGUCACCCUUCAUCGGAAGCCCACCACCCUGAGGGCUCCUCCUCCACCUGGGGCGGCACUGCCAGGCACAGGCACGCACUUUCCCUCAGUCCUCUGCCCCACGAUCACUCUACUCGGGCACCUCUGCCACUGCCUGGUCCUUGCUGAGCCAUCUCCUGGUUCAUCUCCCUGGAGUCCCUGCAGGACCGGCUCUCAGUGGCGUCUCCGGGCUCCCAGUCCCAGGACUGGUCCUAUCCAGCCCAGGAGAUACGCUCCCCAGUCCAGGAUGUCCAGAUGGCCCUGCUGCCUGGAGAGGCUCUGGCCCCUGCCGGUAGCUGCCACAGCACCACCCCAAGCUCUGCCUUCCUGCAGGGAGGUGAUUCUGCAGAAGUUGGGGCUCCUGACAACUUUGGGGUGGCCAUGAGGGACGUACCUCUUGCCUCUGGAUGUGCAGGAUUCCAAUUCAUCCUGUCCAUCCCGAACUCCUGUGCCAGACAUUCCUUCAUUCAACCUCUGUUUAUUGAGCAACUACUUGGGCCAGGCACUGGGACUGGGGAAGCCAACAAGACAUAGAUUUUCUGUCCCCCUGGAAAGUGACAGUCAGUUUGAGAAACAGACAAGGAAACAAACAAUUCCAGUGCAGUGUGGCAAGCGUCACGAUGGGAGGGAGAGGAGAGCACUCUUGGAGCACAAGAGAGGAGCAUUUACCCUAAAAUCACACUCUAGAACACAGCAAGGUGUGUGCCAGGGAAGGCUUCCAGGAGACUGGUUUCCAGGCCCUUUUGGUCCAUCCUUAGGACAAACACACACACACAUGCACACAUAUAUGCACAUACAUGAACACACACACGCACGUGAACACACAGGCACACACAUCCACACACACGCACAUACAUGCACACACAUGCUUUAACACACAUGCACACACGCAUGCACAAACAUGCUUGGAGUGAAACUUUCCGAAGCAAUAUUUACCCCAAAAAUACUCUGAUGUUUUCUAUUGUAUCCUAAUUCAUUUUUGAAAUGCUGGUUGCCCUCCCAAUAAUUUGGUUUAUAGUAAUUUUCUUUCUUUAAAAAAUAUGGUUUGAAGAGAGAUGCAGUCUACCUUGACUUUGGGAGGGUAUAUUGGAGGCUUCUUGCCAAAGGACAGGGGCUGUGGUGACAAUGGGGUGGCUGGGGAGGGCUCCCAAGCAGAGGAGAAGGGGUGCAGUGCGGUACCCGGCCUGCUGUAUCCAGGAACUCAGACACUGAGGUUUUUGUGCUCGCAACAUUAGGGCUAUGGCGGGGAACCUUGGGCUAUGGGAGAGCAGUGCCUGGUUCAUUACAUGCUGAAUAUUUCCAGAAAAAGGGAAUGGAAGGGGAGCCCUUGGUGCUUAUGACUUGGAGUCUAGAAUGGUGGAGAGUCUGAAAAUGGUGACGCUAGAAAAGGUGAAUUCUCCACCCCAGGUUACAAGUAGACGGACCUGAGGAGUGGGGAGGCAGGGGGGAGGUGUGGGGUCCGAGAUCAGAUUGAAGAGAUGGGGUCUCCCUGGGACAGCAACCUUGAGGUAAUUACAAAGACACCACCCC
RNAcentral lists this long non-coding RNA (1953 nucleotides) under Homo sapiens (human). RNAcentral's name for it is "non-protein coding lnc-BRD1-29:3". Lineage: Eukaryota; Metazoa; Chordata; Mammalia; Primates; Hominidae. The record is from RNAcentral.